Molecule: transfer RNA, 69 nt
Filed under: bovine gut metagenome
Rfam family: tRNA
About the family: Transfer RNA (tRNA) molecules are approximately 80 nucleotides in length. Their secondary structure includes four short double-helical elements and three loops (D, anti-codon, and T loops).
Source: RNAcentral
CAAAUAGCUCAGUUGGUAGAGCGGAGGACUGAAAAUCCUUAUGUCGCCGGUUCGAUUCCUGCUUUGGGC